GACGAACGCUGGCGGCGUGCUUAACACAUGCAAGUCGAACGCUGAAGCCCUUUCGGGGUGGAUGAGUGGCGAACGGGUGAGUAACACGUGGGUAAUCUGCCCUGCACUCUGGGAUAAGCCUUGGAAACGGGGUCUAAUACCGGAUAGGACACAUCGCCGCAUGGUGUGUGUGUGGAAAGUUCCGGCGGUGCAGGUUGCGCCCGCGGCCUAUCAGCUUGUUGGUGGGGUGAUGGCCUACCAAGGCGACGACGGGUAGCCGGCCUGAGAGGGUGACCGGCCACACUGGGACUGAGACACGGCCCAGAGUCCUACGGGAGGCAGCAGUGGGGAAUCUGGCGCAAUGGGCGAAAGCCUGACGCAGCAACGCCGCGUGGGGGAUGACGGCCUUCGGGUUGUAAACCUCUUUCGACCGGGACGAAGGGUGACUGACGGUACCGGUAGAAGAAGCACCGGCUAACUACGUGCCAGCCGCCGCCGUAA
Molecule: ribosomal RNA, 480 nt
Filed under: uncultured bacterium
Lineage: Bacteria
Description: partial 16S ribosomal RNA
Rfam family: Bacterial small subunit ribosomal RNA
Source: RNAcentral